CAGUCGCCACGGGAAUACAGAGGGUGCGAGCGUUAAUCGGAUUUACUGGGCGUAAAGCGUGCGUAGGCGGCUUCUUAAGUCGGAUGUGAAAUCCCUGAGCUUAACUUAGGAAUUGCAUUCGAUACUGGGAAGCUAGAGUAUGGGAGAGGAUGGUAGAAUUCCAGGUGUAGCGGUGAAAUGCGUAGAGAUCUGGAGGAAUACCGAUGGCGAAGGCAGCCAUCUGGCCUAAUACUGACGCUGAGGUACGAAAGCAUGGGGAGCAAACAGGAUUAGAGACCCGUGUAGUCCUGUCUCUUAUACA
Molecule: ribosomal RNA, 301 nt
Filed under: uncultured bacterium
Lineage: Bacteria
Description: partial 16S ribosomal RNA
Rfam family: Bacterial small subunit ribosomal RNA
Source: RNAcentral